CCCGCAAGGGGAGUGGCAGACGGGUGAGUAACGCGUGGGAACAUACCCUUUCCUGCGGAAUAGCUCCGGGAAACUGGAAUUAAUACCGCAUACGCCCUACGGGGGAAAGAUUUAUCGGGGAAGGAUUGGCCCGCGUUGGAUUAGCUAGUUGGUGGGGUAAAGGCCUACCAAGGCGACGAUCCAUAGCUGGUCUGAGAGGAUGAUCAGCCACAUUGGGACUGAGACACGGCCCAAACUCCUACGGGAGGCAGCAGUGGGGAAUAUUGGACAAUGGGCGCAAGCCUGAUCCAGCCAUGCCGCGUGAGUGAUGAAGGCCUUAGGGUUGUAAAGCUCUUUCACCGGAGAAGAUAAUGACGGUAUCCGGAGAAGAAGCCCCGGCUAACUUCGUGCCAG
RNAcentral lists this ribosomal RNA (393 nucleotides) under Agrobacterium tumefaciens. RNAcentral describes it as "bacterial SSU rRNA". It matches the Rfam family "Bacterial small subunit ribosomal RNA", at positions 83 to 511 of the family's 1533-position model. The record is from RNAcentral. Lineage: Bacteria; Pseudomonadati; Pseudomonadota; Alphaproteobacteria; Hyphomicrobiales; Rhizobiaceae.